CUCCGCAUGUCUCUACAUUUUGAUGAGUGACAUCUGAGGAUUUUUCUCCAUAUAGUGGACUUCAAUGGGAGCCAGUGGGUUGAAGGUCCAAAGUGCAGUUUAAAUGCAGCUUCAAAGGGCUCUACACGAUCCCAGCCGAGGAAUACAGUGACGGUUUCAGAGAGGCUGAUUUCCCGAGGGAGUCGCUCAGACAGACACACCUACCAGCAUCUACCCGACCCUUGAGACAAAAACGACAAACUACAAGAUUGAAAGUGACAUGACCCUGCAGAGAACUAACUAGGUUUUAAUUUCACUGGCUCUGAGUGAACAAGGAGAUGAAUAAAAAAGAGGCUGUUUUUGGUCAGCGGCGGUGGUAGGGGAGGGCUGUAGGGCCCGUCAGCCUGCCUGGAGUGGACUAGAAGAGGGCUGCUCACCCAGCCAGCUGGACUGGAUCCGUCAAUGGUUUACAGAGCCGCUACAGUACAGGGCAGAGGUAUGCUACCUCCACAAACCUGGAAAAAAACAUGGCCGCCAGGAGAAACUGUGCGAUGAAAGGAUGAUUUAUGCAGCACAAAUAUGCCAUGCGUACGGUCUGCUGGCAAAUGAGCGGGCAGGCUGUUUCUGGCUGGUGGAGUUGUGCUGGGAAGGGUACGUGCUGCCGGUGUAGAGGGCAAGAGGCGGAGGGAUGUUUUAACAGUCUUAUGUAAACCAAAUGGGGUGGGGGCGGCCAUCUUGUGUUUAUCACAUGUCAGAAAAAAAGCAAGGCCAGGGCACCUCUGGGAGCUCUGUGCUGUUUGAAAAUGGCAUUCUAACACAGGAUUAAUAAACAGAGCGACCCAUUGGACGGCACAGGCUCUCAAUAUGUGCUGCACUUUAGCAGGAGGAGACCUUGCUCUGUUUAUGACUUCUUCAGGAAAAAGAGCGUAGCCUAUAUGUGCUGCGUGUUACUGCUUGAUGCUGCCUUAUUGAAGCACCUGGACUUUUAAAUUCAUUUCACUUGAUCGGGUUUCUGGCGAGACUCUUUCAUUGCAGAAGAACAUGUGAUGAAACAAUGAAGUGCCUGUGAUAUGCUACUGUAAGGGUAAAUAUCAUGCCUUGAACCCUGACAGCUGCAGAAGCCAAGUUGAAUCAAAGGUCUGAAGGAAACAGCUGCUCCAAAUAUUUUUCAACUGUGGAGGGGGUUGUAGAGAAGAACGUAUCUCAAUUAUAUCUCAAACCCCAUUG
Molecule: long non-coding RNA, 1206 nt
Organism: Onychostoma macrolepis
Lineage: Eukaryota; Metazoa; Chordata; Actinopteri; Cypriniformes; Cyprinidae
Exons: 4
Source: RefSeq, a predicted model, not a curated record